RNAcentral lists this ribosomal RNA (484 nucleotides) under uncultured bacterium. RNAcentral's name for it is "partial 16S ribosomal RNA". It matches the Rfam family "Bacterial small subunit ribosomal RNA", at positions 30 to 507 of the family's 1533-position model. The record is from RNAcentral.
AUUGAACGCUGGCGGCAGGCCUAACACAUGCAAGUCGAGCGGAUGAAGGGAGCUUGCUCCUGGAUUCAGCGGCGGACGGGUGAGUAAUGCCUAGGAAUCUGCCUGGUAGUGGGGGAUAACGUCCGGAAACGGGCGCUAAUACCGCAUACGUCCUGAGGGAGAAAGUGGGGGAUCUUCGGACCUCACGCUAUCAGAUGAGCCUAGGUCGGAUUAGCUAGUUGGUGGGGUAAAGGCCUACCAAGGCGACGAUCCGUAACUGGUCUGAGAGGAUGAUCAGUCACACUGGAACUGGGACACGGUCCAGACUCCUACGGGAGGCAGCAGUGGGGAAUAUUGGACAAUAGGCGAAAGCCUGAUCCAGCCAUGCCGCGUGUGUGAAGAAGGUCUUCGGAUUGUAAAGCACUUUAAGUUGGGAGGAAGGGCAGUAAGUUAAUACCUUGCUGUUUUGACGUUACCAACAGAAUAAGCACCGGCUAACUUCGUG